Molecule: ribosomal RNA, 88 nt
Filed under: Glaesserella parasuis
Lineage: Bacteria; Pseudomonadati; Pseudomonadota; Gammaproteobacteria; Pasteurellales; Pasteurellaceae
Description: partial 16S ribosomal RNA
Rfam family: Bacterial small subunit ribosomal RNA
Source: RNAcentral
AAAUUGAAGAGUUUGAUCAUGGCUCAGAUUGAACGCUGGCGGCAGGCUUAACACAUGCAAGUCGAACGGUAGCAGGAAGGAAGCUUGC